GAUGAACGCUGGCGGCGUGCCUAAUACAUGCAAGUCGAGCGAAUGGAUUAAGAGCUUGCUCUUAUGAAGUUAGCGGCGGACGGGUGAGUAACACGUGGGUAACCUGCCCAUAAGACUGGGAUAACUCCGGGAAACCGGGGCUAAUACCGGAUAACAUUUUGAACCGCAUGGUUCGAAAUUGAAAGGCGGCUUCGGCUGUCACUUAUGGAUGGACCCGCGUCGCAUUAGCUAGUUGGUGAGGUAACGGCACACCAAGGCAACGAUGCGUAGCCGACAUGAGAGGGUGAUCGGCCACACUGGGACUGAGACACGGCCCAGACUCCUACGGGAGGCAGCAGUAGGGAAUCUUCCGCAAUGGACGAAAGCCUGACGGAGCAACGCCGCGUGAGUGAUGAAGGCUUUCGGGUCGUAAAACUCUGUUGUUAGGGAAGAACGAGUGCUAGUUGAAUAAGCUGGCACCUUGACGGUACCUAACCAGAAAGCCACGGCUAACUACGUGCCAGCCGCCGCGGUAA
Molecule: ribosomal RNA, 515 nt
Filed under: uncultured bacterium
Lineage: Bacteria
Description: partial 16S ribosomal RNA
Rfam family: Bacterial small subunit ribosomal RNA
Source: RNAcentral